Molecule: ribosomal RNA, 435 nt
Filed under: uncultured bacterium
Lineage: Bacteria
Description: partial 16S ribosomal RNA
Rfam family: Bacterial small subunit ribosomal RNA
Source: RNAcentral
AGCGAACGCUGGCGGCAGGCUUAACACAUGCAAGUCGAGCGGGCAUCUUCGGAUGUCAGCGGCAGACGGGUGAGUAACACGUGGGAACGUACCCUUCGGUUCGGAACAACUCUGGGAAACUGGAGCUAAUACCGGAUACGCCCUUAGGGGGAAAGGUUUCCGGCCAAAGAAUCGGCCCGCGUCGGAUUGGCUAGUUGGUGGGGUAACGGCCUACCAAGGCGACGAUCAGUAGCUGGUCUGAGAGGAUGAUCAGCCACACUGGGACUGAGACACGGCCCAGACUCCUACGGGGGGCAGCAGUGGGGAAUAUUGGACAAUGGGCGCAAGCCUGAUCCAGCCAUGCCGCGUGAGUGAUGAAGGCCUUAGGGUUGUAAAGCUCUUUUGUCCGGGACGAUAAUGACGGUACCGGAAGAAUAAGCCCCGGCUAACUUCGUG